RNAcentral lists this long non-coding RNA (566 nucleotides) under Homo sapiens (human). RNAcentral describes it as "HSALNT0072890". Lineage: Eukaryota; Metazoa; Chordata; Mammalia; Primates; Hominidae. The record is from RNAcentral.
CGGGAUAUAAACCCAGGCAUUCCAGCUGGCAAUGGCAAUCCCCUUUGGGUCCCCUCCCAUUGCAUGGGAGCUGUGUUUUCACUCUAUUAAAUCUUGGAACUGCACACUUUUCUGGUCCGUGUUUGUUAGGGCUCGAGCUGAGCUUUCGCUUGCUGUCCACCACUGCUGUUUGCUGCCGUCGCAGACCCGCAGCUGACUUCUACCCCUCCGGAUCCAGCAGGGUGUCUGCUGCACUCCUGAUCCAGUGAGGCGCACAUUGCCACUCCCAAUCGGGCUAAAGGCUUGCCAUUGUUCCUGCACGGCUAAGUGCCCAGGUUUGUCAUAAUCAAGCAGAACACUAGUUGUGGGUUCCACAGUUCUCUUCCAUGACCCAUGGCUUCUAAUAGAGCUGUAACACCCACCGCGUGGUCCAAGAUUCCAUUCCUUGGAAUCCGUGAGGCCAACAACCCCAGCUCAGAGAACAAGAGGCUUGCCACCAUCUUGGAAGCGGCCUGCCACCAUCUUGGGAGUUCUAAGAACAAGGGACCCUAGUAACGUCUCCAUCUAGGGCCAACUGUAAACCUUCA